Molecule: non-coding RNA, 816 nt
Organism: Cervus elaphus (red deer)
Lineage: Eukaryota; Metazoa; Chordata; Mammalia; Artiodactyla; Cervidae
Source: the annotation of a RefSeq genome assembly
UGGACAUGGGUCUGAGCAAGCUCCGGGAGCUGGUGUUGGACAGGGAAGCCUGGCCUGCUGCUGUCCAUGGGGUUGCAAAGAGUUGGACACGACUGAGCUGCUGAACUGAACUGAGCUCAGACAUGACUGUGGUGUAAUCUUUAAGAUCACCACCAGAGGGCGGGGCUUCCUUCAAAUGCGAUUCCUUUUUGUAUUCAGGAGCUGGUUUGACUUGCUUCCUCUGUAGCCACAAGACAGAUGACUGCUGCUGUGCAGAAAGGGGUCCCCAUUUUCUGAGUGAGGAGCUUCUGUAACAUCCAGCUGAAGACUAACUUUGCUAGAUUUGAUGUUUCUAGGGAACAAGGACUGUGGCCAGAAUGUUUUCUGCCCCUCACUCAGUUCUGGUCAUCUUCUUAAUACUUGGGCUGCGUGGAGAAGACCGAGUGGAGCAGAGUCCUCAGACCCUGAGAACCCAGGAGGGGGACAGUCUCAGUCUCAAUUGCAGCCACAUCGUCAGCAGCUUCAGAGGGCUACUGUGGUAUAGACAAGACCCCGGGAAGGGCCCUGAACUCCUCUUCCUUCUUUACUCAGCUGGGGAUGAAAAGCAGAAAGAAAGAUUGAGAGCCACCUUGUUAAAGAAGAGAAGUUCUCUGUACAUCGAAGCCCCCAAACCCGAAGACUCAGCCACUUACCUCUGCGCUGUGCAGACACAGUGCUCCCCAGGCACCUGCAGACUGUACUCAAACCCUGAGGCUGCGGCUCUAGAAUAAGGGCGUCUUUGCUGUUUUCCUUCCUCCUGAGCAACCAGAGACUCUUCCCAAGUGGUCCUAUGGAGAA